AACGAACGCUGGCGGCAGGCCUAACACAUGCAAGUCGAGCGCGCCUUCGGGUGAGCGGCGGACGGGUUAGUAACGCGUGGGAACGUGCCCUUCUGUUGAGGAUAGCCCCGGGAAACUGGGAGUAAUACUCGAUACGCCCUUUGGGGGAAGGAAGGAUCGGCCCGCGUUAGAUUAGGUAGUUGGUGAGGUAACGGCUCACCAAGCCUACGAUCUAUAGCUGGUUUGAGAGGAUGAUCAGCAACACUGGGACUGAGACACGGCCCAGACUCCUACGGGAGGCAGCAGUGGGGAAUCUUGGACAAUGGGCGCAAGCCUGAUCCAGCCAUGCCGCGUGAGUGAUGAAGGCCUUAGGGUCGUAAAGCUCUUUCGCCAGGGAAGAUAAUGACGGUACCUGGUAAAGAACCCCGGCUAACUCCGUGCCCAGCAGCCGCGGUAA
This 436-nucleotide ribosomal RNA is filed under the name uncultured bacterium. RNAcentral describes it as "bacterial SSU rRNA". It matches the Rfam family "Bacterial small subunit ribosomal RNA", at positions 29 to 523 of the family's 1533-position model. The record is from RNAcentral.